Molecule: long non-coding RNA, 383 nt
Organism: Dama dama (fallow deer)
Lineage: Eukaryota; Metazoa; Chordata; Mammalia; Artiodactyla; Cervidae
Exons: 4
Source: RefSeq, a predicted model, not a curated record
UAAUGAUCAGUCUCUGCAAUUUCAACCUAAAGGGACAUUGCACAAGCUGGCUGUUCAAAAGACAUUAAUUCAAAAAACAAAAUCAACAUGAAACAAACUGAAAUGGUCACUCCAAUCUCUAUAUCCUGGUGAGCUUAUCACAAAAAGCGAACAUUCCUCACUUCUCCUCCAAGGGAAAGUUCUUCCCUCACCACACAGAGAUACCAGCCCUUGAUAAGCAUUGCUUGUGACUAGGUGGAUGAAACAGUCUGCUAUAAUCUAAUACAGGAAAAACACAUACUCAUAAAUUGAUAUGGCUGAAUGAGUUACUCAUUCCUUUUGAGCCUGAGUUUUCUAUAGAAAAUGAAGAUAAGAGCUUUUUUAAUGGGAUUAUUAUGAGGAUG